This 32-nucleotide transfer RNA is filed under the name Durinskia baltica. RNAcentral's name for it is "partial Selenocysteine transfer RNA". Lineage: Eukaryota; Dinophyceae; Peridiniales; Kryptoperidiniaceae. The record is from RNAcentral.
CAACACGGGCUUCAAAACCGCGGCGGCGAUGC